RNAcentral lists this transfer RNA (76 nucleotides) under Halanaerobium congolense. RNAcentral describes it as "tRNA_Asn_GTT". It matches the Rfam family "tRNA". Rfam says of the family: Transfer RNA (tRNA) molecules are approximately 80 nucleotides in length. RNAcentral also lists the same sequence under 2 other names. The record is from RNAcentral. Lineage: Bacteria; Bacillati; Bacillota; Clostridia; Halanaerobiales; Halanaerobiaceae.
UCCCCGAUAGCUCAGUUGGUAGAGCAGAUGACUGUUAAUCAUCUUGUCGUAAGUUCGAGUCUUACUCGGGGAGCCA